CCCUGGAGAUAAAAACCGUGGAGGUAAACUCAAAGGUGCCUUUCUUAUCUUCCUCUAAUGACAUUCAUUCCUGUUCUGAAAGGGGAGGUAUGAAGAAGAUAACCCUACAGCUCACUGCCCGGAGACAGGGUUUGCUUGGCAGCACACUGAGGCUAAAGCCACACAAAGCUGAACACGAGUGGUGUUGGGGAUUGACAUUGACAGUCCUGGAGACCAUGAAAAGAGCUGAUGGAGAGCCCCUGGCCGACACUGCCCAACGUCCUCAGCUCUGAAACCGCAUGUACCCUUGAGGUUUGAACUUCAUGUCCAGGGCUGUCUCCCACUGCAGCAGUGAGGAGCCACCAUACCAGUCUUCAUAGUGGCUGCACUAU
Long non-coding RNA from Hyaena hyaena (striped hyena), 371 nucleotides. RefSeq lists it as uncharacterized. The transcript is spliced from 4 exons. The record is from RefSeq and is a predicted model, not a curated record. Lineage: Eukaryota; Metazoa; Chordata; Mammalia; Carnivora; Hyaenidae.